This 253-nucleotide ribosomal RNA is filed under the name uncultured bacterium. Its description in RNAcentral is "partial 16S ribosomal RNA". It matches the Rfam family "Bacterial small subunit ribosomal RNA", at positions 526 to 779 of the family's 1533-position model. The record is from RNAcentral.
CGUAGGGUGCAAGCGUUAAUCGGAAUUACUGGGCGUAAAGCGUGCGCAGGCGGUGAUGUAAGACAGAUGUGAAAUCCCCGGGCUCAACCUGGGAACUGCAUUUGUGACUGCAUCGCUGGAGUACGGCAGAGGGGGAUGGAAUUCCGCGUGUAGCAGUGAAAUGCGUAGAUAUGCGGAGGAACACCGAUGGCGAAGGCAAUCCCCUGGCCGUGUACUGACGCUCAUGCACGAAAGCGUGGGAGCAAACAGGAUU